This 495-nucleotide ribosomal RNA is filed under the name uncultured bacterium. Its description in RNAcentral is "partial 16S ribosomal RNA". It matches the Rfam family "Bacterial small subunit ribosomal RNA", at positions 29 to 507 of the family's 1533-position model. The record is from RNAcentral.
AUGAACGCUGGCGGCGUGCCUAAUACAUGCAAGUCGAGCGAACGGACGAGAAGCUUGCUUCUCUGAUGUUAGCGGCGGACGGGUGAGUAACACGUGGAUAACCUACCUAUAAGACUGGGAUAACUUCGGGAAACCGGAGCUAAUACCGGAUAAUAUUUUGAACCGCAUGGUUCAAAAGUAAAAGACGGUCUUGCUGUCACUUAUAGAUGGAUCCGCGCUGCAUAGCUAGUUGGUAAGGUAACGGCUUACCAAGGCAACGAUGCAUAGCCGACCUGAGAGGGUGAUCGGCCACACUGGAACUGAGACACGGUCCAGACUACUACGGGAGGCAGCAGUAGGGAAUCUUCCGCAAUGGGCGAAAGCCUGACGGAGCAACGCCGCGUGAGUGAUGAAGGUCUUCGGAUCGUAAAACUCUGUUAUUAGGGAAGAACAUAUGUGUAAGUAACUGUGCACAUCUUGACGGUACCUAAUCAGAAAGCCACGGCUAACUACGUG